This is a long non-coding RNA of Gorilla gorilla gorilla (western lowland gorilla), 1114 nucleotides long. RefSeq lists it as uncharacterized. NCBI's taxonomy places the organism in Eukaryota, Metazoa, Chordata, Mammalia, Primates, Hominidae. The transcript has 6 exons. The record is from RefSeq and is a predicted model, not a curated record.
CAGUAGUUAAUGAACGUCUGGAAGAGGCUGAGGAAAAAAAAAAAAAAAACAGUGGCAGUCUGGAAUUUUCCUGGAGCUCAUUGUGGGACAAAACCAAGCAGCAUGAAUAAAAUCUUCGUCAUUCACACACUUCUGUGAUUUUACAGCAUGGCAGGGACAGACACACAAGUGUGUGUGGCCUGAGUGCUUCUUGAACUCAAGGAUUCCUGUGCCAGGAUCCGUAGCUGAGCCCAACAUUUCGCUGUGACUUCAUGGCAGUCAAAGAGGGAUGAUGAUUUAUGUGUCUGUUGUUAUCUGACAUUUUAAGAAGUCAUCAAUUCUUUAGGAGAUGAAUUUGUUCUCCAGUAUAAAAGUGUAAGAGAAGCUGAUCCCGGGAUACUGAAAAGCUAAGGCAGGACUCAACAUUUUUCUCUUUUCAAACGUCAUUGCCAAGAAGCCCUCAAUUUCAAACGAGUCACUGACCCAGUAAAUUACCUAAUGCAUCUACAGCUCCACCCACCUUCGCAGUCUCAGAAUGCUCAAGUGGAAAACGUUGCUUGGGGCAGGUCUCGUUCUGUCACCCAGGCUGGAGUGCAGUGGCAUGAUCUCAGCUCACUGCAACCUCUGCCUCCCGGGCUCAAGCAAUCCUCCCACCUUAGCUUCCUGAGUAGCUGGGACCACAUGUGCACACCACCAUGCCCAGGACUUACAAAUUACAUAUCCACCAUGACCCACAUUUCUAAGCCUGUAUGAACAAGUUUCAUCAUUCAUGUGAGCAGAAGGCUUAGCUCACAUUGGGAGCGAAUGCUGACCAGAGUUCCCCACUCCACCGCACCCUCCGCAAGGCAGAACUGAACAUGUUUAACAUUUCAUGUGUGGCUCACAUAUUCCUGUUCGACAGCGUGGACUGGAAGCUGGCCUGGGGUCUUUUAGCACCAAUUCCUUGCCCAGAGCACACUCCAUCUACUUAUUAAAAAAAGUUAAGUAAAACUCAAGCACGUCCUUCAGGAGGUAUCCGGACGAAAGCAUUGUUAUCACAGGAGACGACAGCUCCAUGCCUGUUACUUCCCCUGAAGACCUUCCAGUGGCACAAGAUGUGAAGAUGGAAGACAGUGAUACUCAUGAUCCUACCCUG